AAAUCGCUGUGAAGAUGCAGUGUACCCGCGGCUAGACGGAAAGACCCCGUGAACCUUUACUACAGCUUGGCACUGAACAUUGAACCUACAUGUGUAGGAUAGGUGGGAGGCUUUGAAGACGUGACGCUAGUUGCGUUGGAGCCGUCCUUGAAAUACCACCCUUGUAUGUUUGAUGUUCUAACGUUGGCCCCUAAUCGGGGUUGCGGACAGUGCCUGGUGGGUAGUUUGACUGGGGCGGUCUCCUCCCAAAGAGUAACGGAGGAGCACGAAGGUGGGCUAAUCACGGUUGGACAUCGUGAGGUUAGUGCAAUGGCAUAAGCCCGCUUAACUGCGAGAAUGACGGUUCGAGCAGGUGCGAAAGCAGGUCAUAGUGAUCCGGUGGUUCUGAAUGGAAGGGCCAUCGCUCAACGGAUAAAAGGUACUCCGGGGAUAACAGGCUGAUACCGCCCAAGAGUUCAUAUCGACGGCGGUGUUUGGCACCUCGAUGUCGGCUCAUCACAUCCUGGGGCUGAAGUCGGUCCCAAGGGUAUGGCUGUUCGCCAUUUAAAGUGGUACGCGAGCUGGGUUUAGAACGUCGUGAGACAGUUCGGUCCCUAUCUGCCGUGGGCGUUGGAAGAUUGAAGGGGGCUGCUCCUAGUACGAGAGGACCGGAGUGGACGAACCUCUGGUGUUCGGGUUGUGUCGCCAGACGCAUUGCCCGGUAGCUAAGUUCGGAAUCGAUAACCGCUGAAAGCAUCUAAGCGGGAAGCGAGCCCUGAGAUGAGUCUUCCCUGAUACUUUAAGUAUCCUGAAGGGUUGUUCGAGACUAGAACGUUGAUAGGCAGGGUGUGUAAGCGCUGUGAGGCGUUGAGCUAACCUGUACUAAUUGCCCGUGAGGCUUAACCAUACAACACCCAAAGGGU
Molecule: ribosomal RNA, 902 nt
Filed under: Vibrio vulnificus
Lineage: Bacteria; Pseudomonadati; Pseudomonadota; Gammaproteobacteria; Vibrionales; Vibrionaceae
Description: partial 23S ribosomal RNA
Rfam family: Bacterial large subunit ribosomal RNA
Source: RNAcentral